UCUCUGGUGGUCUAGUGGUUAGGACUCCUGGUUUUCACCCAGGUAGCCCUGGUUUGAUUCCUGGUGUGGGAA
RNAcentral lists this transfer RNA (72 nucleotides) under Callithrix jacchus (white-tufted-ear marmoset). It matches the Rfam family "tRNA". From Rfam's summary of the family: Transfer RNA (tRNA) molecules are approximately 80 nucleotides in length. Lineage: Eukaryota; Metazoa; Chordata; Mammalia; Primates; Cebidae. The record is from Rfam by way of RNAcentral.